Molecule: ribosomal RNA, 253 nt
Filed under: uncultured bacterium
Lineage: Bacteria
Description: partial 16S ribosomal RNA
Rfam family: Bacterial small subunit ribosomal RNA
Source: RNAcentral
UACGGAGGAUGCAAGCGUUAUCCGGAAUGAUUGGGCGUAAAGCGUCCGCAGGUGGCGGUGUGAGUCUGCUGUUAAAGAGUGAGGCUCAACCUCAUAAAAGCAGUGGAAACUACACAGCUAGAGUGCGGUAGGGGCAGAGGGAAUUCCUGGUGUAGCGGUGAAAUGCGUAGAGAUCAGGAAGAACACCGGUGGCGAAAGCGCUCUGCUAGGCCGCAACUGACACUGAGGGACGAAAGCUAGGGGAGCAAAUGGG